Molecule: small RNA, 110 nt
Filed under: Arabidopsis thaliana (thale cress)
Lineage: Eukaryota; Viridiplantae; Streptophyta; Magnoliopsida; Brassicales; Brassicaceae
Description: ATSL040940
Source: RNAcentral
AAAAGUAUGUGUAAAAUGGUCAUUAAAAAUUAGAAGAUGGUAGAAAUGAAAAUGACCAAUAGAAAAGGGUAUAAUUGAAAAGAGGUAGUGGCAUUCUUAGCAAUUUUUCU